Non-coding RNA from Cavia porcellus (domestic guinea pig), 318 nucleotides. Lineage: Eukaryota; Metazoa; Chordata; Mammalia; Rodentia; Caviidae. The record is from Rfam.
GGAUGUGAGGCCAAUCUGGCUGCAACAUCUGUCGCCCCGCUGAUCGUCAGUGUUGAUCUGGCUGAUCUGACUGGCGGGGCUGUGUCCUUUCUUCCCUCACUGUCCCCCUACAAAGCUGUGCGCUCAGUGGCAGAGGACGACUAUCCUAUAGUGGAGGCCCAUUUUCUUAGGUCAAGGGUAUACGAGUAGCUGUGCUCCUCUGCCCAAAUAAGCUCUCAAAAAAAAAAAAAAAAAAAGGCACAGAUUCUGUCAUUAACCAGCUCCAAAACUAUUCGCUUUUCCUAAAAUGAGUAAAACCGUUAUAUAUUGGCAAUUUUA